UAGAGGAAGUAAAAGUCGUAACAAGGUUUCUGUAGAACAAGUCCUUCCGUGGGUAACGCUUGCUGAAGCCUUAGCAGCCUGAAAGGGUGGCCCUUGACGACUAUAAACAAUCAGAGGGUCUGAAAUGCUAGUCCACCAAAGAAUUUGUGGGCAACACUGUCAAAUUGCGGGGAACCCCUAAAGACCUUGACACCAAGCGUCUGCUGGAAACAGUGGCGUGGCCGAGCUAAUUGCCCUGGGUAUGGUAAAAGUUCAAGGUAUGAGCCUGAGUGAUCGGGUGAAAUGGGCAAUCUGCAGCCAAGUCCUAAUGCCUCAGGCUAUGGAUGCUGUUCACAGGCCAAAUGGCAGUGGGUGGGAGAAUAUCUCUCCUGCUUAAGAUAUGGUCGGUCCUCCUGCGAAAGCUGGAGGGUUAAGUUUACCCCAAAUGAGAGAGUCUUCUAACCUACAGUUGUUACUAGCCAUUCUCUCAGAACAUAAUGUUCCGUAGGUGAACCUGCGGAAGGAUCAUUACCGAGUUAGGGUCUUAAAUGGCCCAACCUCCAACCCCUUGUGUACAUUGAAUUGUUGCUUCGGCAGGCCAACGUGCCUGCCGGAGCCCAAAUCAAAAACAUAUUUUAUGGUGUCGUCUGAGUUAAACAUCAAAUCAUAAAAACUUUCAACAACGGAUCUCUUGGUUCCCGCAUCGAUGAAGAACGCAGCGAAAUGCGAUAAGUAAUGUGAAUUGCAGAAUUCAGUGAAUCAUCGAAUCUUUGAACGCACAUUGCGCCCCUUGGCAUUCUGAGGGGCAUGCCUGUUCGAGCGUCAUUAUAAAAUCUCAAGCCUCUUGCUUGGUGUUGGGUCUUCGUCCCUCCCCCAUGAAAGGGGGGCUGGACGUGCCUGAAAAUCAGUGGCGGUGCCACGAUGGUCUCAAGCGUAGUAGACUCUCUCUCGCUUNGGAUGGCUUGUCGUGGCUCACCAGCCUCAUCAUAGAUGAACUUCUGAAAAAGGUUUGACCUCGGAUCAGGUAGGGAUACCCGCUGAACUUA
This 1025-nucleotide ribosomal RNA is filed under the name uncultured fungus. RNAcentral's name for it is "eukaryotic LSU rRNA". The stretch from base 651 to 804 matches the Rfam family "5.8S ribosomal RNA". The record is from RNAcentral. Lineage: Eukaryota; Fungi.